GACCAGAUUGGGCUCAGCAACUUGGAUUAGUCACCUGCAGCCUAGGUGACGGGAGAGGUACAGUUGUCAAAUGGUAAUACCCUAAAGUAAGUUCAGGGAGGACAGAAGCAUCUAUGAGCAGAGGGUUAAAAACGGGUUGAUCUUAAUUUUUUUACAGAUAAAAUCCUUGAAAUCAGGAGCCCAAGAUCCUUCUGACCCUUGUAAUCUCAAGUGGGAGGUGUCAGAAGAGGAUAACUGGAAUGUGGGGGCCCAAUGUUCAAAGCAAGUCUGCUUUUUAAUCCUUAGAUAUUGUUCUUCAUUGUGAAACAGACCUCAUUCAGUGUUGGACUGUUCACUCACUAAUUAAGAAUGUGAGAUGGGAUCAGGUCAUUGUGAGAUAAGACAGUU
Molecule: non-coding RNA, 387 nt
Filed under: Ovis aries (sheep)
Lineage: Eukaryota; Metazoa; Chordata; Mammalia; Artiodactyla; Bovidae
Description: Eukaryotic large subunit ribosomal RNA
Rfam family: Eukaryotic large subunit ribosomal RNA
Source: Rfam by way of RNAcentral